RNAcentral lists this unclassified non-coding RNA (338 nucleotides) under Hevea brasiliensis (rubber tree). The record is from RNAcentral. Lineage: Eukaryota; Viridiplantae; Streptophyta; Magnoliopsida; Malpighiales; Euphorbiaceae.
AAAAGUUGAGUUGAGUUGAGUUGAAGGAAAUCCAAUGGCUACAAGAGAAGCAAAGAUGUUUGAGGAUGUGGUUCCAUUUCUAAUUGGAGCAACUGCUGCCAUGAUUAAGCAACUCGGAGGAUAAAUUCGGAAUUGCCACCAGUAGAAGGAAGAUUUCGAGACAUGAUGAGGUGAGAUUUACCAUUUGCAAGAUUGUUUCUAAUGAACUUGCUAGUAUUCGCUAGGCCGUUUUCAUGCAAGUAACAACUCUUGUAGAAGCAUGGAGAAGCUUCCCAAUUGAAGAAAGGCAAAAUUUUCCCAGCUCCUAAGGAAUUCUCAGUUUGAAGGUUGGUGAGGGG